Molecule: transfer RNA, 89 nt
Rfam family: tRNA
About the family: Transfer RNA (tRNA) molecules are approximately 80 nucleotides in length. Their secondary structure includes four short double-helical elements and three loops (D, anti-codon, and T loops).
GGAAGGUUGUCCGAGCUGGCCGAAGGAGCACGCCUGGAAAGUGUGUUGGCGUCACAAGCGUCUCAAGGGUUCGAAUCCCUUACCUUCCG